RNAcentral lists this transfer RNA (72 nucleotides) under Fidelibacterota bacterium. Its description in RNAcentral is "tRNA-Glu". It matches the Rfam family "tRNA". Rfam says of the family: Transfer RNA (tRNA) molecules are approximately 80 nucleotides in length. The record is from RNAcentral. Lineage: Bacteria; Pseudomonadati; Fidelibacterota.
GGCCCCUUCGUCUAGUGGUUAGGACAUCAGGUUUUCGACCUGACAACAGGAGUUCGAUUCUCCUAGGGGUCA